GGAUGGCAUCGCUGCUGCUGCAGGGGCUCUUCUUCCCCAGGGCGGCUGGGGAGCAUCUCCCUCCCACCCGGAGCCCUGCGGCUCUCCCAGAACCACGGUGGCACGCCUGUUCCCAAAACUUCACGUUACACCUGUUAUCAGAUGGCAUUCCUAACGCAGAGCCCAUUUUCUGUGAAAAACACCACAUAACAUCUGUUCAUAAACAGUCCUUCUGUGAGAACACUGACACAGGUCUUGAGCUUCUACUGGCUCAAUUCCCCUGCCGUACACAGAUGGCACGAG
This is a long non-coding RNA of Grus americana (Whooping crane), 282 nucleotides long. RefSeq lists it as uncharacterized. NCBI's taxonomy places the organism in Eukaryota, Metazoa, Chordata, Aves, Gruiformes, Gruidae. The record is from RefSeq and is a predicted model, not a curated record. The transcript has 3 exons.